This 497-nucleotide ribosomal RNA is filed under the name uncultured bacterium. Its description in RNAcentral is "partial 16S ribosomal RNA". It matches the Rfam family "Bacterial small subunit ribosomal RNA", at positions 28 to 507 of the family's 1533-position model. The record is from RNAcentral.
GAUGAACGCUGGCGGCGUGCCUAAUACAUGCAAGUCGAGCGAACAGACGAGGAGCUUGCUCCUCUGACGUUACCGGCGGACGGGUGAGUAACACGUGGAUAACCUACCUAUAAGACUGGGAUAACUUCGGGAAACCGGAGCUAAUACCGGAUAAUAUAUUGAACCGCAUGGUUCAAUAGUGAAAGACGGUUUUGCUGUCACUUAUAGAUGGAUCCGCGCCGCAUUAGCUAGUUGGUAAGGUAACGGCUUACCAAGGCAACGAUGCGUAGCCGACCUGAGAGGGUGACCGGCCACACUGGAACUGAGACACGGUCCAGACUCCUACGGGAGGCAGCAGUAGGGAAUCUUCCGCAAUGGGCGCAAGCUUGACGGAGCAACGCCGCGUGAGGGAUGAAGGUCUUCGGAUCGUAAAACUCUGUUAUUAGGGAAGAACAAAUGUGUAAGUAACUAUGCACGUCUUGACGGUACCUAAUCAGAAAGCCACGGCUAACUACGUG